Molecule: ribosomal RNA, 253 nt
Filed under: uncultured bacterium
Lineage: Bacteria
Description: partial 16S ribosomal RNA
Rfam family: Bacterial small subunit ribosomal RNA
Source: RNAcentral
UACGUAGGGUGCGAGCGUUGUCCGGAAUUACUGGGCGUAAAGCGCGUGUAGGCGGUUUCGCAAGUCAGGUGUGAAAGCCCAGGGCUCAACCCUGGAAGUGCACAUGAUACUACGGAGCUGGAGUACUGAAGAGGAGAGCGGAAUUCCCGGUGUAGAGGUGAAAUUCGUAGAUAUCGGGAGGAACACCAGUGGCGAAGGCGGCUCUCUGGGCAGAUACUGACGCUGAGACGCGAAAGCGUGGGUAGCAAACAGG